GUGGCGGUAGCUCAGUUGGUAGAGCAGGGGACUGAAAAUCCCCGUGUCGGUGGUUCGAUUCCACCCCGUCACACCA
Molecule: transfer RNA, 76 nt
Filed under: uncultured bacterium
Lineage: Bacteria
Description: tRNA-Phe
Rfam family: tRNA
About the family: Transfer RNA (tRNA) molecules are approximately 80 nucleotides in length. Their secondary structure includes four short double-helical elements and three loops (D, anti-codon, and T loops). Further hydrogen bonds mediate the characteristic L-shaped molecular structure. tRNAs have two regions of fundamental functional importance: the anti-codon, which is responsible for specific mRNA codon recognition, and the 3' end, to which the tRNAs corresponding amino acid is attached (by aminoacyl-tRNA synthetases). tRNAs cope with the degeneracy of the genetic code in two manners: having more than one tRNA (with a specific anti-codon) for a particular amino acid; and 'wobble' base-pairing, i.e. permitting non-standard base-pairing at the 3rd anti-codon position.
Source: RNAcentral